Molecule: non-coding RNA, 248 nt
Organism: Pelobates cultripes (western spadefoot toad)
Lineage: Eukaryota; Metazoa; Chordata; Amphibia; Anura; Pelobatidae
Source: the annotation of a GenBank genome assembly
GGCGUUGACAGUACAGAUAUGCUAUACACACACCUUAGCCCCGCAAGGCAAGACUCAAGCAUAUCCCUAAUUAAGAAGCUGAGAACCUGUACACCGACCCACACAGACCAUAACUAACAGACUCUUCAGGCAUCUCCAUGCCAUUUAUUACUUGUUAAAAAAAACAAAAAACAGUGCAUUGACACCAUCACCCAACUGCUACCUAUAUGUAUAACAAUGGCAUAUUGUUUUCACUUUUGUAUUAUGAC